This 401-nucleotide unclassified non-coding RNA is filed under the name soil metagenome. RNAcentral describes it as "partial contains 5.8S ribosomal RNA, internal transcribed spacer 2, and large subunit ribosomal RNA". The stretch from base 1 to 122 matches the Rfam family "5.8S ribosomal RNA", at positions 35 to 154 of the family's 154-position model. The record is from RNAcentral.
GAUGAAGAACGCAGCGAAAUGCGAUACUUGGUGUGAAUUGCAGAAUCCCGUGAACCAUCGAGUCUUUGAACGCAAGUUGCGCCCGAAGCCAUUAGGCCGAGGGCACGCCUGCCUGGGUGUCGCACAUCGUUGCCCCAAUGCCUCAGCCCUGUUGCAAGGCAUGGCAAAGGGGCGAAUGUUGGCUUCCCGCGAGCGAUGCCCUCACGGUUGGCUGAAAAUCGAGUCCGUGGUGGAGUGUGCCGCGAUGGAUGGUGGUUGAGUGAUGAUGCUCGGGACCAAUCAUGGGUAACUCCACCAGAAUUGGGCUCGGUGACCCACAUGCGUCCCUUGGAUGCUCCCUAAGGAGACCUCAGGUCAGGCGGGGCUACCCGUUGAGUUUAAGCAUAUCAAUAAGCGGAGGA